ACCUGGCUGGCUCAGUCAGUAGAGCAUGUGAUUCUUGAUCUCAAAGUUGUGAGUUUGAGCCCCAUGUUGGGUC
Molecule: transfer RNA, 73 nt
Filed under: Felis catus (domestic cat)
Lineage: Eukaryota; Metazoa; Chordata; Mammalia; Carnivora; Felidae
Also listed under: 6 other names
Rfam family: tRNA
About the family: Transfer RNA (tRNA) molecules are approximately 80 nucleotides in length. Their secondary structure includes four short double-helical elements and three loops (D, anti-codon, and T loops). Further hydrogen bonds mediate the characteristic L-shaped molecular structure. tRNAs have two regions of fundamental functional importance: the anti-codon, which is responsible for specific mRNA codon recognition, and the 3' end, to which the tRNAs corresponding amino acid is attached (by aminoacyl-tRNA synthetases). tRNAs cope with the degeneracy of the genetic code in two manners: having more than one tRNA (with a specific anti-codon) for a particular amino acid; and 'wobble' base-pairing, i.e. permitting non-standard base-pairing at the 3rd anti-codon position.
Source: Rfam by way of RNAcentral